GUGAACGCUGGCGGUAGGCCUAACCCAUGCACGUCGGACGGCAGCACAGUAAGAGCUUGCUCUUACGGGUGGCGAGUGGCGGACGGGUGAGGAAUACAUCGGAAUCUACUUUUUCGUGGGGGAUAACGUAGGGAAACUUACGCUAAUACCGCAUACGACCUACGGGUGAAAGCAGGGGAUCUUCGGACCUUGCGCGAUUGAAUGAGCCGAUGUCGGAUUAGCUAGUUGGCGGGGUAAAGGCCCACCAAGGCGACGAUCCGUAGCUGGUCUGAGAGGAUGAUCAGCCACACUGGAACUGAGACACGGUCCAGACUCCUACGGGAGGCAGCAGUGGGGAAUAUUGGACAAUGGGCGCAAGCCUGAUCCAGCCAUACCGCGUGGGUGAAGAAGGCCUUCGGGUUGUAAAGCCCUUUUGUUGGGAAAGAAAAGCAGCAGGUUAAUACCCCGCUGUUCUGACGGUACCCAAAGAAUAAGCACCGGCUAACUUCGUG
This 491-nucleotide ribosomal RNA is filed under the name uncultured bacterium. RNAcentral's name for it is "partial 16S ribosomal RNA". It matches the Rfam family "Bacterial small subunit ribosomal RNA", at positions 29 to 507 of the family's 1533-position model. The record is from RNAcentral.